Molecule: ribosomal RNA, 253 nt
Filed under: uncultured bacterium
Lineage: Bacteria
Description: partial 16S ribosomal RNA
Rfam family: Bacterial small subunit ribosomal RNA
Source: RNAcentral
UACGUAGGGUGCAAGCGUUGUCCGGAAUUAUUGGGCGUAAAGAGCGUGUAGGCGGCCCCGUUAGUCCGCUGUAAAAGUCAAAGGCUCAACCUUUGAAUGCCGGUGGAUACUGUCGGGCUAGAGUCCGGAAGAGGCGAGUGGAAUUCCUGGUGUAGCGGUGGAAUGCGCAGAUAUCAGGAGGAACACCAAUAGCGAAGGCAGCUCGCUGGGACGGUACUGACGCUGAGGCGCGAAAGCGUGGGGAGCGAACAGG